CAGUCGCCGCGGGAAUACGAAGGGGGCUAGCGUUGCUCGGAAUCACUGGGCGUAAAGGGUGCGUAGGCGGGUCUUUAAGUCAGAGGUGAAAUCCUGGAGCUUAACUCCAGAACUGCCUUUGAUACUGAGGAUCUUGAGUUCGGGAGAGGUGAGUGGAACUGCGAGUGUAGAGGUGAAAUUCGUAGAUAUUCGCAAGAACACCGUGGCGAAGGCGGCUCACUGGCCCGAUACUGACGCUGAGGCACGAAAGCGUGGGGAGCAAACAGGAUUAGAUACCCGCGUAGUCCCUGUCUCUUAUACA
This 301-nucleotide ribosomal RNA is filed under the name uncultured bacterium. RNAcentral's name for it is "partial 16S ribosomal RNA". It matches the Rfam family "Bacterial small subunit ribosomal RNA", at positions 509 to 808 of the family's 1533-position model. The record is from RNAcentral.